Suncus etruscus (white-toothed pygmy shrew) is the source of this 129-nucleotide small nucleolar RNA. RefSeq annotates it as small nucleolar RNA SNORA51. The transcript has a single exon. Lineage: Eukaryota; Metazoa; Chordata; Mammalia; Eulipotyphla; Soricidae. The record is from RefSeq and is a predicted model, not a curated record.
GGCCUCCCAAUGCUUACUACAGGCUGUGUUCUUAACACUGUAUAGAAAGAGGAGGUACAGUAAAUGCACCCCAUAUACACCUCAACCCAGGCCCUUUGCCUGGUCUGUAUUGUGAGUGGAGGGACAAAA